Molecule: ribosomal RNA, 466 nt
Filed under: uncultured bacterium
Lineage: Bacteria
Description: partial 16S ribosomal RNA
Rfam family: Bacterial small subunit ribosomal RNA
Source: RNAcentral
GAUGAACGCUGGCGGCGUGCUUAACACAUGCAAGUCGAACGAUGAAGCCCAGCUUGCUGGGUGGAUUAGUGGCGAACGGGUGAGUAACACGUGAGUAACCUGCCCUUAACUCUUGGAUAAGCCUGGGAAACUGGGUCUAAUACCGGAUAGGAGCGUCCACCGCAUGGUGGGUGUUGGAAAGAUUUAUCGGUUUUGGAUGGACUCGCGGCCUAUCGGCUUGUUGGUGAGGGAAUGGCUCACCACGGCGACGGCGGGUAGCCGGCCUGAGAGGGUGACCGGCCACACUGGGACUGAGACACGGCCCAGACUCCUACGGGAGGCAGCAGUGGGGAAUAUUGCACAAUGGGCGCAAGCCUGAUGCAGCGACGCCGCGUGAGGGAUGACGGCCUUCGGGUUGUAAACCUCUUUCAGUAGGGAAGAAGCGAAAGUGACGGUACCUGCAGAAGAAGCACCGGCUAACUACGUG